UGUUUUUGUAAGCUAUCUUGGAGAGUUUAUGGAAAUAAGCUGAGAAAAGCUUAUCAACGUUUGUCAUAAGCCGUAUUCGUAAAUUCUCCCAAACAGUCUCACAUGUGAGUUUAAUAUCGUCUUAUGUAUUUAUUUGUGAAUUUUGAUUAGUGUAUCCUUAGACUGGCUUAUUCCUUAAAUAAGCCAAUCCAAACAUGUCCAUA
RNAcentral lists this long non-coding RNA (203 nucleotides) under Trifolium pratense (red clover). Its description in RNAcentral is "long non-coding RNA (TPRA_LNC009970)". The record is from RNAcentral. Lineage: Eukaryota; Viridiplantae; Streptophyta; Magnoliopsida; Fabales; Fabaceae.